Molecule: long non-coding RNA, 257 nt
Organism: Zonotrichia leucophrys gambelii
Lineage: Eukaryota; Metazoa; Chordata; Aves; Passeriformes; Passerellidae
Exons: 4
Source: RefSeq, a predicted model, not a curated record
GGAAACAAUACUGACAAUGGAACAGAUCCUAACCCACCAGUGGUGCCAUCCUCAGCACCUCCAGGAAACAAUACUGAUAAUGGAACAGAUCCUAACCCACCAGUGGUGCCAUCCUCAGCACCUCCAGGAAACAAUACUGACAAUGGAACAGAUCCUAACCCACCAGUGGUGCCAUCCUCAGCACCUCCAGGAAACAAUACUGAUAAUGGAACAGAUCCUAACCCACCAGUGGUGCCAUCCUCAGCACCUCCAGGUAA